ACUCAAAUGAAUUGACGGGGACUUGCACAAGCAGAGGAUUAUGUGGUUUAAUUCGAUGAUAAACGAAGAACCUUACCAAGAUUUGAAACCUAACUGAAGACAAACAGAAAUGAUUGUCGUCCCACAAGGACAGUUAGGCAGGUGAUGCAUGGCUGUCGUCAGUUCGUGAUUUGAAUUGUUCCCUUAAGUGGGGUAACGAACGCAACCCUCGUUGUCUGUUACACGUAUCAGGCGAGACUGCCCAGCUCUAAUUUUUUGAGAUGAUGUUUUCGAAAAAUUAGAGCUGGGAGGAAGGCGAGGAUGACGCCAAGUCCGCAUGUCCCUUUGAUAUCUUGGGCUACACACAUAAUACAAUGGCGACUACAACGGGUAGCGACGGGGUAACCCUGAGCCAAUCCUAAGAAAAGUCGCCCCAGUUCAGAUUGGGGGCUGAAACUCGACCCCAUGAAGUUGGAUUUGCUAGUAAUCGCGGGUCAUACAUACCGCGGUGAAUACGUUCUCAAGUCUUGUACACACCGCCCGU
This 523-nucleotide ribosomal RNA is filed under the name uncultured bacterium. RNAcentral's name for it is "partial 16S ribosomal RNA". It matches the Rfam family "Bacterial small subunit ribosomal RNA", at positions 899 to 1397 of the family's 1533-position model. The record is from RNAcentral.